This is a non-coding RNA of Arachis ipaensis, 407 nucleotides long. NCBI's taxonomy places the organism in Eukaryota, Viridiplantae, Streptophyta, Magnoliopsida, Fabales, Fabaceae. The record is from RefSeq and is a predicted model, not a curated record.
AGGUUUUUGUUCUUUCAAUUUCAAUUUUCUUCCGGUUAGAGAGUAUGUCGUUUUAAAGUAGAAGUGCCAUAUCGCUUACCUCCAGCUUUAAACACCUUCUUGCAUCCUUUACACUCAGAACGUUCUACUCCAUCCUUAUUUGGACCGAGUUUUCUAAAAAAAUUCCAAACAUCAGAUGUUGAUGGUCUGGCCCUUUUCGAACUAGGUUCAUCAACCUUGACCGGAGCAGCCUCAGAACUAGCUCCAGCAGUAACAAAGUUACUCACAGUUUUAGAAUUCAUAUUUUCUUAAAUAAAAGCAAAUGUUAAUUGUUAAACCAGAUAUCAACCAUUCUGAUUUAGUCAACACUCAAAACCAUUUAGUUUACACAGCAAAUUUGCAUCAGAUUUAAUCAACACUCAAAACCA